GAGUUUGAUCAUGGCUCAGGAUGAACGCUGGCGGCGUGCUUAACACAUGCAAGUCGAACGAACCUUCGGGUUAGUGGCGGACGGGUGAGUAACGCGUGGGAAUCUGCCCUCAGGAGGGGGAUAACGGCUGGAAACGGCCGCUAAUACCCCAUAUGCCGAGAGGUGAAAUGAAUUUCGCCUGAGGAUGAGCCCGCGUCUGAUUAGCUAGUUGGUGAGGUAAGAGCUCACCAAGGCAUCGAUCAGUAGCUGGUCUGAGAGGAUGAUCAGCCACACUGGGACUGAGACACGGCCCAGACUCCUACGGGAGGCAGCAGUGGGGAAUUUUCCGCAAUGGGCGAAAGCCUGACGGAGCAACGCCGCGUGAGGGAUGAAGGCCUCUGGGCUGUAAACCUCUUUUCUCAAGGAAGAAGAUCUGACGGUACUUGAGGAAUAAGCCACGGCUAAUUCCGUGCCAGCAGCCGCGGUAAUACGGGAGUGGCAAGCGUUAUCCGGAAUUAUUGGGCGUAAAGCGUCCGCAGGCGGCCCUUCAAGUCUGCUGUUAAAACGUGGAGCUUAACUCCAUCAUGGCAGUGGAAACUGUUGGGCUUGAGUGUGGUAGGGGCAGAGGGAAUUCCCGGUGUAGCGGUGAAAUGCGUAGAUAUCGGGAAGAACACCAGUGGCGAAGGCGCUCUGCUGGGCCAUAACUGACGCUCAUGGACGAAAGCCAGGGGAGCGAAAGGGAUUAGAUACCCCUGUAGUCCUGGCCGUAAACGAUGAACACUAGGUGUCGGGGGAAUCGACCCCCUCGGUGUCGUAGCCAACGCGUUAAGUGUUCCGCCUGGGGAGUACGCACGCAAGUGUGAAACUCAAAGGAAUUGACGGGGGCCCGCACAAGCGGUGGAGUAUGUGGUUUAAUUCGAUGCAACGCGAAGAACCUUACCAGGGUUUGACAUCCUGCGAACCUCUUGGAAACGAGAGGGUGCCUUCGGGAACGCAGUGACAGGUGGUGCAUGGCUGUCGUCAGCUCGUGUCGUGAGAUGUUGGGUUAAGUCCCGCAACGAGCGCAACCCACGUCUUUAGUUGCCAGCAUUUAGUUGGGCACUCUAGAGAGACCGCCGGUGAUAAACCGGAGGAAGGUGUGGAUGACGUCAAGUCAUCAUGCCCCUUACAUCCUGGGCUACACACGUACUACAAUGCUACGGACAAAGAGCAGCAAGUUCGCGAGGACAAGCAAAUCUCAUAAACCGUGGCUCAGUUCAGAUCGUAGGCUGCAACUCGCCUACGUGAAGGAGGAAUCGCUAGUAAUCGCAGGUCAGCAUACUGCGGUGAAUACGU
Molecule: ribosomal RNA, 1314 nt
Filed under: unidentified marine bacterioplankton
Lineage: Bacteria
Description: bacterial SSU rRNA
Rfam family: Bacterial small subunit ribosomal RNA
Source: RNAcentral